UAAUUGUGAUGGACGCUGUAGGAGAGAGGAAUAAUGUUGUGGGGGAGACAAAAGGAAGGACAACUGUCAACCAGCAAGAGAUGAUUCAAACACAGCUCUCUAAUCCAUCCCCAGCUCAGGCCAGGAAGUGCAUUGCAGCUGGCCCCCAGCCCGCAGCUCUGUCUCCCUGUGUCGGGCCAGCCUCCCUGACCCUGACCCCCACCACCCACCAGGCCAUGGGCCCACUCAAAGCGCGUCAAAUUAGCACCCGGCAGAUUCCUGCUACAAAGAACCAGGCAACCGAAAAAGCCUGGAGACAGGCUGAUUGGUGCUGCGAGCCCUACACAGUAUGGUGUCUCGAGCAUGGCUGUAUGUGGGCUCUGGCUCUACUGAACGACCGCCUCUGCCAGUCUGUCUGGAUGUAAAACUGUAUUUAAUGGUGUAUGAACAUCAAAGCAAUGGGGGUGGCAUUCAAAAUAAAUGAAUUUCAUUGAAUACAGUUAGAUGGAAUUUUAUGAUGAAAGUGAUGAACAUUGAAUGCAGUUAGAUGGAAUUGGCGUGUAUUUUUGGACAGAAUGAUGAGUGAC
Long non-coding RNA from Oncorhynchus tshawytscha (Chinook salmon), 566 nucleotides. The record is from Ensembl. Lineage: Eukaryota; Metazoa; Chordata; Actinopteri; Salmoniformes; Salmonidae.